This is a non-coding RNA of Phascolarctos cinereus (koala), 337 nucleotides long. The record is from RefSeq and is a predicted model, not a curated record. NCBI's taxonomy places the organism in Eukaryota, Metazoa, Chordata, Mammalia, Diprotodontia, Phascolarctidae.
UUCCAGUUCUGGCAUUCUAUGUACAAUGCUUCACACUGGCCACUAACAGUUUGAUCACAGAGAACACACCAUAAGAAGACCUGCUUUGCCUCUUUUCAGAUUCACUCUUUUCUGGAUUUCAUCAUCACCUCCAGAAACUCAUCUUCCUGCAAAAUGUAAUCAACUCUGAAACUCACAUCUCCUCAGUGCUUCCAGCCCCUGGGGCCACUUCCUCUGGUUGGGUCAACAAACAACAACAGUGGAAGGGAGCAAAAUUCAUCUUUGGCCCAAGAUCACAAGAGCUGAGGAAAGCAGAAUUUGAACCUUUUUUUUUCUCCUAUUAAAAAAAAUAGGAAGU